CUGAUCUCCGACUGGAACAUCA
RNAcentral lists this non-coding RNA (22 nucleotides) under Arabidopsis thaliana (thale cress). The record is from RNAcentral. Lineage: Eukaryota; Viridiplantae; Streptophyta; Magnoliopsida; Brassicales; Brassicaceae.